CAGUAGCCACGGGAAUACGAAGGGGGCUAGCGUUGUUCGGAAUUACUGGGCGUAAAGCGCACGUAGGCGGACAUUUAAGUCAGGGGUGAAAUCCCGGGGCUCAACCCCGGAACUGCCUUUGAUACUGGGUGUCUAGAGUAUGGAAGAGGUGAGUGGAAUUCCGAGUGUAGAGGUGAAAUUCGUAGAUAUUCGGAGGAACACCAGUGGCGAAGGCGGCUCACUGGACCAUUACUGACGCUGAGGUGCGAAAGCGUGGGGAGCAAACAGGAUUAGAUACCCCGGUAGUCCCUGUCUCUUAUAC
Molecule: ribosomal RNA, 301 nt
Filed under: uncultured bacterium
Lineage: Bacteria
Description: partial 16S ribosomal RNA
Rfam family: Bacterial small subunit ribosomal RNA
Source: RNAcentral